AGAGUUUGAUCAUGGCUCAGAUUGAACGCUGGCGGCAGGCCUAACACAUGCAAGUCGAGCGGUAGCACAGAGAGCUUGCUCUCGGGUGACGAGCGGCGGACGGGUGAGUAAUGUCUGGGAAACUGCCUGAUGGAGGGGGAUAACUACUGGAAACGGUAGCUAAUACCGCAUAACGUCGCAAGACCAAAGUGGGGGACCUUCGGGCCUCAUGCCAUCAGAUGUGCCCAGAUGGGAUUAGCUAGUAGGUGGGGUAACGGCUCACCUAGGCGACGAUCCCUAGCUGGUCUGAGAGGAUGACCAGCCACACUGGAACUGAGACACGGUCCAGACUCCUACGGGAGGCAGCAGUGGGGAAUAUUGCACAAUGGGCGCAAGCCUGAUGCAGCCAUGCCGCGUGUGUGAAGAAGGCCUUCGGGUUGUAAAGCACUUUCAGCGGGGAGGAAGGCGNCGAUUGACGUUACCCGCAGAAGAAGCACCGGCUAACUCCGUGCCAGCAGCCGCGGUAAUACGGAGGGUGCAAGCGUUAAUCGGAAUUACUGGGCGUAAAGCGCACGCAGGCGGUCUGUCAAGUCGGAUGUGAAAUCCCCGGGCUCAACCUGGGAACUGCAUUCGAAACUGGCAGGCUAGAGUCUUGUAGAGGGGGGUAGAAUUCCAGGUGUAGCGGUGAAAUGCGUAGAGAUCUGGAGGAAUACCGGUGGCGAAGGCGGCCCCCUGGACAAAGACUGACGCUCAGGUGCGAAAGCGUGGGGAGCAAACAGGAUUAGAUACCCUGGUAGUCCACGCCGUAAACGAUGUCGAUUUGGAGGUUGUGCCCUUGAGGCGUGGCUUCCGGAGCUAACGCGUUAAAUCGACCGCCUGGGGAGUACGGCCGCAAGGUUAAAACUCAAAUGAAUUGACGGGGGCCCGCACAAGCGGUGGAGCAUGUGGUUUAAUUCGAUGCAACGCGAAGAACCUUACCUGGUCUUGACAUCCACAGAACUUUCCAGAGAUGGAUUGGUGCCUUCGGGAACUGUGAGACAGGUGCUGCAUGGCUGUCGUCAGCUCGUGUUGUGAAAUGUUGGGUUAAGUCCCGCAACGAGCGCAACCCUUAUCCUUUGUUGCCAGCGGUCAGGCCGGGAACUCAAAGGAGACUGCCAGUGAUAAACUGGAGGAAGGUGGGGAUGACGUCAAGUCAUCAUGGCCCUUACGACCAGGGCUACACACGUGCUACAAUGGCAUAUACAAAGAGAAGCGACCUCGCGAGAGCAAGCGGACCUCAUAAAGUAUGUCGUAGUCCGGAUUGGAGUCUGCAACUCGACUCCAUGAAGUCGGAAUCGCUAGUAAUCGUAGAUCAGAAUGCUACGGUGAAUACGUUCCCGGGCCUUGUACACACCGCCCGUCACACCAUGGGAGUGGGUUGCAAAAGAAGUAGGUAGCUUAACCUUCGGGAGGGCGCUUACCACUUUGUGAUUCAUGACUGGGGUGAAGUCGUAACAAGGUAACCGUAGGGGAACCUGCGGUUGGAUCACCU
RNAcentral lists this ribosomal RNA (1510 nucleotides) under Klebsiella pneumoniae. Its description in RNAcentral is "bacterial SSU rRNA". It matches the Rfam family "Bacterial small subunit ribosomal RNA". The record is from RNAcentral. Lineage: Bacteria; Pseudomonadati; Pseudomonadota; Gammaproteobacteria; Enterobacterales; Enterobacteriaceae.